This 275-nucleotide ribosomal RNA is filed under the name uncultured bacterium. RNAcentral describes it as "partial 16S ribosomal RNA". It matches the Rfam family "Bacterial small subunit ribosomal RNA", at positions 523 to 796 of the family's 1533-position model. The record is from RNAcentral.
AUACGGAGGGUCCAAGCGUUAUCCGGAAUCAUUGGGUUUAAAGGGUUCGUAGGCGGGUCAAUAAGUCAGAGGUGAAAUCUUGCAGCUUAACUGUAAAAUUGCCUUUGAAACUGUUGACCUUGAAUUACUGUGAAGUGGUUAGAAUAUGUAGUGUAGCGGUGAAAUGCUUAGAGAUUACAUAGAAUACCGAUUGCGAAGGCAGAUCACUAACAGUAUAUUGACGCUGAUGAACGAAAGCGUGGGUAGCGAACGGGAUUAGAAACCCCGAGUAGUCC